GACGAACGCUGGCGGCGUGCUUAACACAUGCAAGUCGAACGGAAAGGCCCUGCUUGCCGGGUACUCGAGUGGCGAACGGGUGAGUAACACGUGGGUGAUCUGCCCUGCACUUCGGGAUAAGCCUGGGAAACUGGGUCUAAUACCGGAUAGGAGCCAUUUUUAGUGUGAUGGUUGGAAAGUUUUUUCGGUGUAGGAUGAGCUCGCGGCCUAUCAGCUUGUUGGUGGGGUAAUGGCCUACCAAGGCGGCGACGGGUAGCCGGCCUGAGAGGGUGGACGGCCACAGUGGGACUGGGAUACGGCCCAGACUCCUACGGGAGGCAGCAGUGGGGAAUAUUGCACAAUGGGCGCAAGCCUGAUGCAGCGACGCCGCGGGGGGGAUGACGGCCUUCGGGUUGUAAACUCCUUUCGCUAGGGACGAAGCUUUUUGUGACGGUACCUAGAGAAGAAGCACCGGCUAACUACGUG
Molecule: ribosomal RNA, 465 nt
Filed under: uncultured bacterium
Lineage: Bacteria
Description: partial 16S ribosomal RNA
Rfam family: Bacterial small subunit ribosomal RNA
Source: RNAcentral